GUAUUUGUAGUUUAAAUAAAACAUUAAGUUUUCGUCUUAAAGAUGUGGUUUUCACUAAAUAAU
Molecule: transfer RNA, 63 nt
Filed under: Nemertopsis sp. WYS-2013
Lineage: Eukaryota; Metazoa; Nemertea; Enopla; Monostilifera; Emplectonematidae
Description: tRNA-Glu
Source: RNAcentral